This 232-nucleotide long non-coding RNA is filed under the name Olea europaea (common olive). RNAcentral's name for it is "long non-coding RNA (OEUR_LNC002395)". The record is from RNAcentral. Lineage: Eukaryota; Viridiplantae; Streptophyta; Magnoliopsida; Lamiales; Oleaceae.
CAUCACCCAUCACUUCAUCAGCUUCAGCAUUUGGAGCAUCAUUUUGAACCUCAUCGAUAGUUUGAAGGUCAGGCCGACCUCUAAUAGGUCCCAGACGCUCUUUCUCAAGAGCUGAUAUAUAUAGGUCUGGGCAGACCUUUCUUAGAUGCUCAAGCAUCGACUGAGUAUUCCAAGAGGCCCAACAACUGGCAAAUAAGUCAUAAAGCUCGAUCUUCUCAAAAUUUUCAAUAUA